GGCUGUAGCUCAGUGGUAGAGUGCUUGCCUAGCACAUGUAAGGCCCUGGGUUCAAUUCUCAGCACCA
RNAcentral lists this transfer RNA (67 nucleotides) under Marmota monax (woodchuck). RNAcentral's name for it is "tRNA.Ala". The record is from RNAcentral. Lineage: Eukaryota; Metazoa; Chordata; Mammalia; Rodentia; Sciuridae.